Molecule: ribosomal RNA, 447 nt
Filed under: uncultured bacterium
Lineage: Bacteria
Description: bacterial SSU rRNA
Rfam family: Bacterial small subunit ribosomal RNA
Source: RNAcentral
AACCCAGACUCCUACGGAGGCAGCAGUGGGGAAUAUUGCACAAUGGGGGAAACCCUGAUGCAGCAACGCCGCGUGAGUGAAGAAGUCAUUCGUGAUGUAAAGCUCUAUCAGCAGGGAAGAAAAUGACGGUACCUGAGUAAGAAGCCCCGGCUAACUACGUGCCAGCAGCCGCGGUAAUACGUAGGGGGCAAGCGUUAUCCGGAUUUACUGGGUGUAAAGGGAGCGUAGACGGCCAGACAAGUCUGAAGUGAAAGCCCGGGGCUCAACCCUGGGACUGCUCUGGAAACUGUAAAGCUGGAGUGCGGGAGGGGCAGGCGGAAUUCCUGGUGUAGCGGUGAAAUGCGUAGAUAUCAGGAGGAACACCGGCGGCGAAGGCGGCCUGCUGGACCGUAACUGACGUUGAGGCUCGAAAGCGUGGGGAGCAAACAGGAUUAGAUACCCUGGUAU